AUGACGUCGCCGGUGACGACGCACGCCUCGCCCUUCCUGCUCGCCCUGCUCCUGCUCCUCUCCAUCCCGGUCGUCUUCCUCCUCGGGCCGCGCCUCCUCCCGCCCAAGACGCUCCCCGCCAUCCCGGACGCCGACGAGUCCGACGACCUCGCCCUCUUCCGCCGCGCCAUCCUCUCCUCUUCCUCCGCCAAGCCGGCCACCACCUCCUACUUCUUCCACCGCCGCCCUCGGCCCAAAGUCGCCUUCCUCUUCCUCACCAACUCCGACAUCGUCUUCUCGCCGCUCUGGGAGAAGUACUUCCGUGGCCACCGCAAGCUGUUCAACCUGUAUGUCCACGCCGACCCCUACUCCGUCCUAGAGCUGCCGCCCACGCCCACCUUCCGCGGCCGCUUCGUGCCAGCCAAGGCCACGCAGCGAGCCUCCCCCACGCUCAUCUCUGCCGCCCGCCGCCUCCUCGCCACCGCACUCCUGGACGACCCGUCCAACCAGUUCUUUGCGCUGCUGUCCCAGUCCUGCAUCCCGCUGCACCCGUUCCCCACCAUGUACAAGACACUCCUCUCCGACAAUGCUGGCCCUCACGGCCACCACCGCAGCUUCAUAGAGAUAACGGACAACACCUCCAUCCUUCAUGAUAGGUACUAUGCCCGCGGUGAUGCUGUGAUGUUGCCAGAGGUGCCGUAUGACCAGUUUCGUGCUGGAUCGCAGUUCUUUGUGCUCACUAGGAGGCAUGCCAUCAUGGUUGUGAGGGACAUGCGGCUCUGGAAGAAGUUUAAGCUGCCUUGUCUGGUCGAGCGCAAUUACUCGUGCUAUCCAGAGGAGCACUACUUCCCCACAUUGCUGGAUAUGCAGGACCCUGCUGGAUGCACCAAGUAUAGCCUCACGAGGGUGAACUGGACAGAUCAAGUCGAGGGCCACCCACACACGUAUCAUCCUGGGGAGGUGUCGGCCAACUUGAUCAGGGAGCUGAGGAAGUCAAAUGCGAAAUACUCAUACAUGUUUGCACGGAAAUUUGCCCCGGAGUGCCUCGAGCCGCUGAUGGAGAUUGCGGACUCAGUCAUCCUACGUGACUAG
This 1071-nucleotide ribosomal RNA is filed under the name Triticum aestivum (bread wheat). RNAcentral's name for it is "partial small subunit ribosomal RNA". Lineage: Eukaryota; Viridiplantae; Streptophyta; Magnoliopsida; Poales; Poaceae. The record is from RNAcentral.